This 253-nucleotide ribosomal RNA is filed under the name uncultured bacterium. Its description in RNAcentral is "partial 16S ribosomal RNA". It matches the Rfam family "Bacterial small subunit ribosomal RNA", at positions 524 to 776 of the family's 1533-position model. The record is from RNAcentral.
AACGUAGGUGGCAAGCGUUAUCCGGAUUUACUGGGCGUAAAGGGUGUGCAGGCGGGGAAGCAAGUGGGGUAUGAAAUCUCCAGGCUUAACCUGGAGGGGUUAUGCCAGACUGCUUUUCUAGAGGACGAGAGAGGGGGGUGGAAUUCCGGGUGUAGUGGGGAAAUGCGUAGAGAUCCGGAGGAACCCCAGAGGCGAAGGCGGCCCCCUGGCUCGUACCUGACGCUCAGCCACGAAAGCAUGGGGAGCGAACGGG